RNAcentral lists this ribosomal RNA (429 nucleotides) under Gemmatimonadota bacterium. RNAcentral describes it as "Gemmatimonadetes bacterium partial 16S ribosomal RNA". It matches the Rfam family "Bacterial small subunit ribosomal RNA", at positions 355 to 776 of the family's 1533-position model. The record is from RNAcentral. Lineage: Bacteria; Pseudomonadati; Gemmatimonadota.
UAGGGAAUCUUCGGCAAUGGACGAAAGUCUGACCGAGCAACGCCGCGUGAGUGAAGAAGGUUUUCGGAUCGUAAAACUCUGUUGUUAGAGAAGAACAAGGACGUUAGUAACUGAACGUCCCCUGACGGUAUCUAACCGGAAAGCCACGGCUAACUACGUGCCAGCAGCCGCGGUAAUACGUAGGUGGCAAGCGUUGUCCGGAUUUAUUGGGCGUAAAGCGAGCGCAGGCGGUUUCUUAAGUCUGAUGUGAAAGCCCCCGGCUCAACCGGGGAGGGUCAUUGGAAACUGGGAGACUUGAGUGCAGAAGAGGAGAGUGGAAUUCCAUGUGGAGCGGUGAAAUGCGUAGAUAUAUGGAGGAACACCAGUGGCGAUGGCGGCUCUCUGGUCUGUAACUGACGCUGAGGCUCGAAAGCGUGGGGAGCAAACAGG